Molecule: ribosomal RNA, 492 nt
Filed under: uncultured bacterium
Lineage: Bacteria
Description: partial 16S ribosomal RNA
Rfam family: Bacterial small subunit ribosomal RNA
Source: RNAcentral
AGUGAACGCUGGCGGUAGGCCUAACACAUGCAAGUCGAACGGCAGCACAGUAAGAGCUUGCUCUUACGGGUGGCGAGUGGCGGACGGGUGAGGAAUACAUCGGAAUCUACUUUUUCGUGGGGGAUAACGUAGGGAAACUUACGCUAAUACCGCAUACGACCUACGGGUGAAAGCACGGGAUCUUCGGACCUUGUGCUAUUGAAUGAGCCGAUGUCGGAUUAGCUAGUUGGCGGGGUAAAGGCCCACCAAGGCGACGAUCCGUAGCUGGUCUGAGAGGAUGAUCAGCCACACUGGAUCUGAGACACGGUCCAGACUCCUACGGGAGGCAGCAGUGGGGAAUAUUGGACAAUGGGCGCAAGCCUGAUCCAGCCAUACCGCGUGGGUGAAGAAGGCCUUCGGGUUGUAAAGCCCUUUUGUUGGGAAAGAAAAGCAGCAGGUUAAUACCCCGCUGUUCUGACGGUACCCAAAGAAUAAGCACCGGCUAACUUCGUG